Molecule: long non-coding RNA, 1702 nt
Organism: Nycticebus coucang (slow loris)
Lineage: Eukaryota; Metazoa; Chordata; Mammalia; Primates; Lorisidae
Exons: 3
Source: RefSeq, a predicted model, not a curated record
AGCUUAGGGUAGGCUGCCUCAAAAGUGGAUUUGUAAGGCUCCCUCAAAGGCUCAUGAGUCAGAGGCUGGGCUCCUGUGAGUCCCACUCCCCAGCCCGUCCUGCGAAGCAUCCCGGUUGCUCACUGUGUAGAGGUUGCUCACUGUAGCAUCCUGGUAAAGUCAAUGGAGUAGGUGUCCAGCUUGUGGCCUGGAGGCUUUGCUCAGGCUGGUAGAGCAGGCAGGCGAUUCACAAGCUAAGUAACACAUCCUAAAAGUGAGCAGCCACAAGCCGGGGCAGAAGACCUUUCUCUGGACCAGGGAAGCUGACAAAGCUACGGUCCGGGUUUGGGCAGGUCUGCCCAGUUGGUACCAACUACGAUGGAGGGUAAUGCUUAGUGCUUUCCUCCAGAUCCUAGAAAGCUCCUGUAAACCCUGGGGGACACCAAGAGACCCCUAAGAUCAUGGGGCUGAAACCCUAAUGCUGUCCCUGAGCCCCUUCCCUUCACAUGGAGGAGGCCUCGGCAGACGGUCUGUUCACGGCAAGCACUACCAUCCAGCGCUAUAACUGUCACUUUGCCCCUGAUCCUGGAUCCCGAGGCUGUCCUGCUCCCCUGCCUCUGCACCCUGCAUUACUCUUGGCUGGUUCUUGCAAAGACAGCUGCCCCAAGCCCCACUUGGGGUCCUGCCCCCAGGCUCUGGACGUGCCCGGCAGGCAGAGCUUCCUCCCAGCGUCUGCACCUGAAUGCUUCUGUCCAGUGAGGAGGGUGAGCCCCAGGCUUCUGCCCAAUGUGCUGCUGUGAAUGCCCAGAUGUGGCCCUAGGAGCUGCUCAUGAGAUGCGUGCCCCAGAGCUGGAAAUCCUGCAGCCAUGACGUUGAGCCUGGCCAUCACAUGGGUGCCACAGCUGCUCCACUCGGGACAAAUUCCUCCUCGGAGGGUUCCUUUCCAGGCAGUGGAGGAGACACCAGCCGCUCCCCCGUGGCCCUCAAGUGCUCCCCCAAUCUAACAGGACUGCAGGUGGCGCCGAGAGAAGAUGGAGAGGACAGGAGCAGUGGCCUCUUGUAAUCGAGUCGCCUCGCACAGGGUGAGGGGAGCAUGUGAUGCAGACUUAAGACCCAGAGCAGUGGUUCUCAACCUUCCUAUGCUGCGGCCCUUUAAUACAGUUCCUGUGGGUCGCCACCCACAGGUUGAGAACCGCUGCCCUAGAGGAAGGGACGGGCAUGAAUGGGAAUCAGUUGGUGUGGGUGAGUCCCUAGAGCCCUCUGAGACAGAGGAGGCCAGGAGCACGUGGGAGGCUCAGGUCCCCCGAGGGGCGGGGGUGGGGAGCAGCCUCUCUGGGUGCUCCAGAAAUCUUGGCCGCAGCUACUCUGUCCUUGACCUUGUGCCACGGGUGAAAAUGACAAGUUCAUUUGUGUCAUUUGUCUAUUCAUAGUCCUGGGCCCUUGGCAUCCACCAGACACCUCUGACGUCCUGUCUGUCUUCUAGAUGGCCUCAGGACCCUCCUGGAGCAGGUGCCCAAGGGGCAGCCAGCCAGCCCGCCCUGUCCAGUCCUCUGUGCUAGGUCCCCUCCCUCCUCCUUGCCAAUUUAAAUCUUGGUGUCCUCUGCACAGUGACAGCUUCAUAGGUGACCGGCCAGAUACUCUGGGGCACUACUUCAUGCUAGAGCCUUGAUGUUCAACCAAGGCACACUGGUAUGCCACGAGAGGAGCUUAGGUGUGCCAUGAA